GACGAACGCUGGCGGCGUGCUUAACACAUGCAAGUCGAACGGAAAGGCCCUGCUUGCAGGGUGCUCGAGUGGCGAACGGGUGAGUAACACGUGGGUGAUCUGCCCCUUACUUUGGGAUAAGCCUGGGAAACUGGGUCUAGUACUGGAUAGGACCAUGCUGUAGGUGGUGUGGUGGAAAGAUUAGUUUCGGUAAGGGAUGAGCUCGCGGCCUAUCAGCUUGUUGGUGGGGUAAUGGCCCACCAAGGCGUCGACGGGUAGCCGGCCUGAGAGGGUGGACGGCCACAUUGGGACUGAGAUACGGCCCAGACUCCUACGGGAGGCAGCAGUGGGGAAUAUUGCACAAUGGGCGCAAGCCUGAUGCAGCGACGCCGCGUGGGGGAUGACGGCCUUCGGGUUGUAAACUCCUUUCAGCCAUGACGAAGCCCUUGUGGUGACGGUAGUGGUAGAAGAAGCACCGGCCAACUACGU
Molecule: ribosomal RNA, 468 nt
Filed under: uncultured bacterium
Lineage: Bacteria
Description: partial 16S ribosomal RNA
Rfam family: Bacterial small subunit ribosomal RNA
Source: RNAcentral